AAGGAUGGCUAAUACCGCAUACGCCCUGAGGGGGAAAGCGGGGGAUCUAAGGACCUCGCGUUAUUUGAGCGGCCGAUGUUGGAUUAGCUAGUUGGUGGGGUAAAGGCCUACCAAGGCGACGAUCCAUAGCGGGUCUGAGAGGAUGAUCCGCCACAUUGGGACUGAGACACGGCCCAAACUCCUACGGGAGGCAGCAGUGGGGAAUUUUGGACAAUGGGGGGAACCCUGAUCCAGCCAUGCCGCGUGUCUGAAGAAGGCCUUCGGGUUGUAAAGGACUUUUGUUAGGGAAGAAAAGCUGGGUGCUAAUACCACCUAGUGCUGACGGUACCUAAAGAAUAAGCACCGGCUAACUACGUGCCAGCAGCCGCGGUAAUACGUAGGGUGCGAGCGUUAAUCGGAAUUACUGGGCGUAAAGCGAGCGCAGACGGUUAAAUAAGUCAGAUGUGAAAUCCCCGAGCUCAACUUGGGACGUGCAUUUGAAACUGUAUAACUAGAGUGUGUCAGAGGGAGGUAGAAUUCCACGUGUAGCAGUGAAAUGCGUAGAGAUGUGGAGGAAUACCGAUGGCGAAGGCAGCCUCCUGGGAUAACACUGACGUUCAUGCUCGAAAGCGUGGGUAGCAAACAGGAUUAGAUACCCUGGUAGUCCACGCCCUAAACGAUGACAAUUAGCUGUUGGGGUACUAGUUACCUUAGUAGCGAAGCUAACGCGUGAAAUUGUCCGCCUGGGGAGUACGGUCGCAAGAUUAAAACUCAAAGGAAUUGACGGGGACCCGCACAAGCGGUGGAUGAUGUGGAUUAAUUCGAUGCAACGCGAAGAACCUUACCUGGUCUUGACAUGUACGGAAUCUCUUAGAGAUAGGAGAGUGCCUUCGGGAACCGUAACACAGGUGCUGCAUGGCUGUCGUCAGCUCGUGUCGUGAGAUGUUGGGUUAAGUCCCGCAACGAGCGCAACCCUUGUCAUUAGUUGCCAUCAUUAAGUUGGGCACUCUAAUGAGACUGCCGGUGACAAACCGGAGGAAGGUGGGGAUGACGUCAAGUCCUCAUGGCCCUUAUGACCAGGGCUUCACACGUCAUACAAUGGUCGGUACAGAGGGUAGCGAAGCCGCGAGGUGAAGCCAAUCUCAGAAAGCCGAUCGUAGUCCGGAUUGCACUCUGCAACUCGAGUGCAUGAAGUCGGAAUCGCUAGUAAUCGCAGGUCAGCAUACUGC
Molecule: ribosomal RNA, 1208 nt
Filed under: uncultured beta proteobacterium
Lineage: Bacteria; Pseudomonadati; Pseudomonadota; Betaproteobacteria
Description: bacterial SSU rRNA
Rfam family: Bacterial small subunit ribosomal RNA
Source: RNAcentral